CACUGAUGGACAGGUCCUGGCUAAGGAUUGUGAAAUCCUCUAAGGAGCACAGAUGGACAAGGCCGGGGCAACGAGAGAGAGAUAAGCUGCUGCUAAUGGCCGGGAAACGGUCUUUUUGUGUGGACUUAUCUCGAGGAAGAUGGCCAUCUCAGGAGGAAUGCACAGGACUCUUGCUCAAGCACCCAGGAAUGUCACGUAGGCAGCAGAAAAUGGAGGAUAAAAGAGGGUCCAACAACCACAACGGUAGAGGUUGAUCCUUCACCACAACUGAGAGGCUUAUCUCUCACCACGACAGACUUGAGGGGUUCUCUGCCAUCUGAUCCUUCACCGCAACGUGGAGGCUGAUCUCUCAUGACGACACGAGCUUUCUGCCUUCAGAUCCUUCUCUACGGACGGUUUGCUGACGGACUUCCCUGGCCCCGCUACCUGAGACCUGCUGCUUCCUCCCUGACUUAUUCGGCAGCUUCUUCCUGGACCCACCCGGUACCUGCACCCUCUCGUUGCCCAAGACCGGCCUCGCUGCUCCUGCCCUUCGGCCUCGGACCGUCGGAACGUCGUGCAACGGGACUGCUGCUGGAUCCUGGUGGUGGUAGAUAUUUGAUGAGAUACAAGUGUCGGCCACCAGCACCUGGCUCUCUACUGUCAAACACACCCUAGUGCAGAUGGCUGCAGAAGACACCGGUAUAGAAGCAUUUAUGUGCAGAACCACAGCAUCACUCAUGAUCCCUAAGGACUGCCUGUCUGAG
Long non-coding RNA from Gallus gallus (chicken), 746 nucleotides. NCBI's taxonomy places the organism in Eukaryota, Metazoa, Chordata, Aves, Galliformes, Phasianidae. The record is from Ensembl.